UCUUGGUCAUUUAGAGGAAGUAAAAGUCGUAACAAGGUUUCCGUAGGUGAACCUGCGGAAGGAUCAUUAACGAGUUGCAAGUCGGUCGACCGUGCUGGCGGAAACGCACGUGCACGUCGGUCGCAAACCUCAUCCACACCACCUGUGAACGUAUGGCCUUUGGGUCUCUCGACCCGGGGGCAAACCCUUUUUUACCCACUCUUUUGUAAAAGAAUGUCAUAUGUGCGUAACGCAUAAAUGAACAACUUUCAACAACGGAUCUCUUGGCUCUCGCAUCGAUGAAGAACGCAGCGAAAUGCGAUAAGUAAUGUGAAUUGCAGAAUUCAGUGAAUCAUCGAAUCUUCGAACGCACCUUGCACCCUUUGGUAUUCCGAAGGGUACGCCCGUUUGAGUGUCAUUGUAAUCUCACCCCCGGAAAUUUUUUUGGGAGUGGACUUGGACGUUGCCGUGCCACGGCUCGUCUCGAAGGUCUCAGUGUGACCCGUUUGCAGGCGUCUACAGUGUGAUAGGUAUCUUCACUGUGUUGGUCUCUUCGGAGGCGCGCUCUCGGACGUGGGCUUCUACGCUGCCAACCGUCUUCGGACAAUCUCUGACGAUUUGACCUCAAAUCGGGUGGGACUACCCGCUGAACUUAAGCAUAUCAAUAAGCGGAGGAA
RNAcentral lists this ribosomal RNA (656 nucleotides) under uncultured Sebacina. Its description in RNAcentral is "eukaryotic LSU rRNA". The stretch from base 244 to 397 matches the Rfam family "5.8S ribosomal RNA". The record is from RNAcentral. Lineage: Eukaryota; Fungi; Basidiomycota; Agaricomycetes; Sebacinales; Sebacinaceae.